This 235-nucleotide ribosomal RNA is filed under the name uncultured bacterium. RNAcentral's name for it is "partial 16S ribosomal RNA". It matches the Rfam family "Bacterial small subunit ribosomal RNA", at positions 118 to 347 of the family's 1533-position model. The record is from RNAcentral.
UGGGGAACAUGACCUUCGGCGGGGGAUAGCCGGCCCAACGGCCGGGUAAUACCGCGUACGACCACAUGGGGACGUCCCUGAGUGGUGAAAGCAGCAAUGCGCCGAAAGAGUGCCUCGCGGCCUAUCAGCUAGUUGGUGGGGUAAUGGCUCACCAAGGCGACGACGGGUAGCUGGUCUGAGAGGAUGGCCAGCCACAUUGGGACUGAGACACGGCCCAGACUCCGUACGGGAGNAG